This 1986-nucleotide ribosomal RNA is filed under the name human gut metagenome. RNAcentral's name for it is "bacterial LSU rRNA". It matches the Rfam family "Bacterial large subunit ribosomal RNA", at positions 831 to 2841 of the family's 2925-position model. The record is from RNAcentral.
AAUCGAACUCGGAGAUAGCUGGUUCUCCUCGAAAUAGCUUUAGGGCUAGCCUUGAGGUAAAGUCUAAUGGAGGUAAAGCACUGAUUGGACGCGGGUCCCCAAAAGGAUACCAACUUCUAUCAAACUCAGAAUGCCAUAUAGAUAUACUCAGGAGUCAGACUAUGUGAGAUAAGUUUCAUAGUCAAAAGGGAAAGAGCCCAGACCGACAGCUAAGGUCCCAAAGUGUGUGUUAAGUGGAAAAGGAUGUUAGGUUUCUAAGACAACUAGGAUGUUGGCUCAGAAGCAGCCACUCAUUUAAAGAGUGCGUAACAGCUCACUAGUCGAGAGGUCUAGCGCCGAAAAUGUCCGGGGCUAAAACACACCACCGAAGCUACGGAAUUACCUAUGGUAAUUGGUAGAGGAGCAUUCUGUAAGGAUGAAGCACAAUUGAAAGAGAGUGUGGACGAAACAGAAGAGAGAAUGCCGGAAUGAGUAGCGAGAUAUAUGUGAGAAUCAUAUAGGUCGAAUGUCUAAGGUUUCCUGGGUAAAGCUGAUCUGCUCAGGGUAAGUCGGGACCUAAGGUGAGGGCGAGAGCCGUAAUCGAUGGACAACAGGUAGAAAUUCCUGUACUACGUAUAAUCAGAACUGUGGGGACGCAGGAGGAUAGGAAAACCGGAGAAUGGAAAAAUCCGGCUAAGUACAAAGGUGUGAGUGAUAGGCAAAUCCGUCACUAUUAGCUGAAGUACGAAUGGGAGCGAAGAAAAGUAGCGAAGUUUCUGAAUCCACACUGUCAAGAAAAGCCGCUAUUGCGUUAUACGUACCCGUACCGCAAACCGACACAGGUAGACGAGGAGAAAAUCCACAGACCGACGGGAGAAGUGUUGUUAAGGAACUCGGCAAAAUGCCCCCGUAACUUAGGGAUAAGGGGAGCCAACGCAAGUUGGUCACAGAAAAGAGGCUCAAGCGACUGUUUAGCAAAAACAUAGGUCUAUGCGAAACCGUAAGGUGAUGUAUAUGGGCUGACGCCUGCCCGGUGCUGGAAGGUUAAGAGGAGAGGUUAGCGCAAGCGAAGCUUUGAAUUCAAGCCCCAGUAAACGGCGGCCGUAACUAUAACGGUCCUAAGGUAGCGAAAUUCCUUGUCAGGUAAGUUCUGACCCGCACGAAAGGUGUAACGAUUUGAGCACUGUCUCGACAACACGCCCGGUGAAAUUGAAGAACCAGUGAAGAUACUGGUUACCCGCAACAGGACGGAAAGACCCCAUGGAGCUUUACUGCAGCUUAAUAUUGGGAUUCGGUAUUGUAUGUACAGGAUAGGAGGGAGACUAAGAAGCUAGCACGCCAGUGUUGGUGGAGUCGAUGGUGGGAUACCUCUCUUAUAAUACUGAAUUUCUAACCUACUUCCGUGAUCCGGAAGAGGGACAUUGUUAGGCGGGCAGUUUGACUGGGGCGGUCGCCUCCGAAAGAGUAACGGAGGCGCUCAAAGGUCUUCUCAGAAUGAUUGGAAACCAUUCAAAGAGUGUAAAGGCAAAAGAAGGCUUGACUGCGAGAGUGACAACUCGAGCAGGUACGAAAGUAGGACUUAGUGAUCCGGUGGUAACAAGUGGGAGUGCCAUCGCUUAACGGAUAAAAGCUACCCUGGGGAUAACAGGCUUAUCUCCCCCAAGAGUUCACAUCGACGGGGAGGUUUGGCACCUCGAUGUCGGCUCAUCGCAUCCUGGGGCUGUAGUAGGUCCCAAGGGUUGGGCUGUUCGCCCAUUAAAGCGGUACGCGAGCUGGGUUCAGAACGUCGUGAGACAGUUCGGUCCCUAUCCGUUGUGGGCGUAGGAAAUUUGAUAGGAGCUGUCCUUAGUACGAGAGGACCGGGAUGGACGAACCUCUGGUGAAUCUGUUGGUAACCAAUGCCACAGCAGAAUAGCCAAGUUUGGAACGGAUAAACGCUGAAGGCAUCUAAGCGUGAAGCCAACCUAAAGACUAGAUUUCCCAUGCGAAAGCAGUAAGACUCCUUGU